RNAcentral lists this ribosomal RNA (253 nucleotides) under uncultured microorganism. Its description in RNAcentral is "partial 16S ribosomal RNA". It matches the Rfam family "Bacterial small subunit ribosomal RNA", at positions 524 to 776 of the family's 1533-position model. The record is from RNAcentral.
UACGUAGGUGGCAAGCGUUGUCCGGAUUUAUUGGGCGUAAAGCGAGCGCAGGCGGUUCUUUAAGUCUGAUGUGAAAGCCCCCGGCUCAACCGGGGAGGGUCAUUGGAAACUGGAGAACUUGAGUGCAGAAGAGGAGAGUGGAAUUCCAUGUGUAGCGGUGAAAUGCGUAGAUAUAUGGAGGAACACCGGUGGCGAAAGCGGCUCUCUGGACUGUCACUGACACUGAGGCUCGAAAGCGUGGGUAGCAAACAGG